RNAcentral lists this ribosomal RNA (463 nucleotides) under Selenomonas sp. oral taxon G00. RNAcentral's name for it is "bacterial SSU rRNA". It matches the Rfam family "Bacterial small subunit ribosomal RNA", at positions 28 to 469 of the family's 1533-position model. The record is from RNAcentral. Lineage: Bacteria; Bacillati; Bacillota; Negativicutes; Selenomonadales; Selenomonadaceae.
GACGAACGCUGGCGGCGUGCUUAACACAUGCAAGUCGAACGGAGCGAAUGAAAGCUUGCUUUUAUAAGCUUAGUGGCAAACGGGUGAGUAACACGUAGACAACCUGCCGACAGGAUGGGGACAACAUUCCGAAAGGAAUGCUAAUACCGAAUGAAGCGGAGGAGAGGCAUCUCUCCUCUGUGAAAGAUGGCCUCUAUAUAUAAGCUAUCACCUGUCGAUGGGUCUGCGUCUGAUUAGCUGGUAGGUGAGGUAACGGCUCACCUAGGCGACGAUCAGUAGCCGGUCUGAGAGGAUGAACGGCCACAUUGGGACUGAGACACGGCCCAGACUCCUACGGGAGGCAGCAGUGGGGAAUCUUCCGCAAUGGGCGCAAGCCUGACGGAGCAACGCCGCGUGAGUGAAGAAGGUCUUCGGAUCGUAAAGCUCUGUUGAUGGGGACGAACGUGCCUAAUGCGAAUAGUAU